Molecule: long non-coding RNA, 1625 nt
Organism: Felis catus (domestic cat)
Lineage: Eukaryota; Metazoa; Chordata; Mammalia; Carnivora; Felidae
Exons: 3
Source: RefSeq, a predicted model, not a curated record
ACAGGCUCCAGGCUCUGAGCCAUCAGCCCAGAGCCUGACGCGGGGCUCGAACUCACGGACCGCGAGAUCGUGACCUGGCUGAAGUCGGACGCUUAACCGACUGCGCCACCCAGGCGCCCCGAAGGUAUGCCUUUUAAAGGCAGUUAGGGAGUUAUAUACAGUUUUUAAAGGAGAAGAGACAUGCUCAGAUUUGCAUUUUAUAAAGAUCACUAGCUACAGAAAAGAGCUGAUGCUGUUGAGGGAGUCUUAGGAGAGAUGAUGGUGUUUGGACUAAAGUACUGACCUGCAGUCGAGAGGAGACUGUUAUGAGGAAUCGUGGAGACUCAACAGAACUUGGUAACCGUGGGAAGUGAGGGACAUAGAAACAUUAGGGAUGAUGUCUGGGUUUCUGCCCUAGGCAGCCACUGUGGCAGGAGCAGGAGGAAGGGCAAGGUUUGGGAAAGAGAAGAUAGAGGUUACCUCUUAGAGAUGUUAAAUUUGACAAACCUAUGAUCCAUGAGAAAAGUAAUGGGUGGGCACAUAGAUGAUAGAUAGAUAGAUAGAUAGAUAGAUAGAUAGAUAGAUAGAGGCACCUGGGUGGCUCCGUUGGUUGAGCUCAGGUCAUGAUCUUGUUGGAGCCCCACUUUGGGCUUGCUGAUGUCAGCCUGUAAGUGCAGAACCUGCUUUGGAUCCUCUGUCCCCUCUCUCUGCCCCUCCCCCGCUUGCACUCUUCCAAUAAAUAAGUAUUUUUUAAAAGAUAGAUAGUCUGGAGUUCAGGGGUUUGGUUUUGCUAUAGAGCAGGGAGUUAUUCACAGGAGUGAAUAAAAUCAUCUAGGAGAGAAGGAAGAGCUUGAGACGAGGAUCUAAAGCAGAAUCUUGAGGGUAGAGAAGGAGUAGUGGAAGAGAAGGGAGGAAAAAGCAGGGGAGUGUAAAGUUAUCAAAGCCCUGAGAAGGGAACGUUUCAAGGAGCAGUCAGUAUCAGUUGCUGCCAAGAGGUCCGGCAACAUCAGGACUUAGCAAGAUUCCACUAAAUUGUGUUGCUAUGGAGACUAUUGUUGACUUUGGUGAGUGCAGGUUCAGAGGAACACAAGGGGCAGCAGGAGUUCAAGCCCUCUUGGUCUGUUGUGUAGCCAGCCUGGUUUGAGGAUUUCUGAAUUGGUCUUCUAAUUCCAGUCUCAAUAGUUCCACUAGUGAUCUGAUAUGGUACCGUGCAGAGAAAUGGAGAGUACAAAAAAUUCCACCUGUAAAAGCUGAGUAUUUGCAUCCUCCUACUGUUAACUUAAAACUUAAAACUUUUACACAUGUGUAAAAUCUUUUUAAGACCAAAAAAAAUCUUUUAGGACCUCUUACAAUACUAAGAUAUAAUUAUACUAUUAUGCCAAAAACCAAAUUCUUUAGAUAAAGCUAUAAAUAUUGAAGACUAAUUUUUGACUUAGCAGUAAUUGUGACUCGGAUAAACCCCAUUAGCUGCGAUACUGCUACAGCACAAAGCUGAAACUAAUUUUUGAAAGUAAAUGAAGAUAUAAGAGAAAUUAAAAAAAAUAACCACAUUCAACAAUGCCAUGCUAGGGGCGCCUGGGUGGCUCAGCUGGUUGUGUGUCCAACUGCGGCUUGGAUCAUGAUCUUGCCGUUCCUAAAUUUGAGCC